RNAcentral lists this ribosomal RNA (194 nucleotides) under uncultured bacterium. Its description in RNAcentral is "partial 16S ribosomal RNA". It matches the Rfam family "Bacterial small subunit ribosomal RNA", at positions 338 to 524 of the family's 1533-position model. The record is from RNAcentral.
CCUACGGGGGGCAGCAGUGGGGAAUAUUGGACAAUGGGCGAAAGCCUGAUCCAGCAACGCCGCGUGAGGGAUGACGGCCUUCGGGUUGUAAAGCACUUUAAGUGGGGAGGAAUGGCUCUUGGUUAAUAACCUUGAGCAGUGACGUUACCCACAGAAUAAGCACCGGCUAACUCUGUGCCAGCAGCCGCGGUAAU